AUGAAAGGUAACUGUGCAAUUAUUGGAAACACACUUUCACAGCAAAAGCGGAUCUUGUUACAGCACAGAGCUAGGUCUUCGUCUUCCUACCUUUAGUUUCGAUGGUGAGAUUGAUGUUUACUUUCAUCUGGUUUUCAUUUGAAAAAUCCCAUCUGUGCUGAGCCUGAAAGAAUUGUAAAAAUACUAAAGUUACAAGCAUUUAAGUAAGGUGAACAGAAUUUCCUGGGUUUACUUUGCUAAAAUGAUGUUUAAAGAAGAUUUGGGUGAUGUAGGCUAUGAGACCACUAUAAUAUAGCUGCUACAACUAAUUAUGUGUCUGAGAUGAGAUGCAAAGCAAAGCUUCAAACCCAGAGGGGAGGGGAAGAAUAUCCUGGCAGCACUAUGCACUUACAUUAAGUAUGGACAUUUUCUAAAGUGAAUGCAUUAUACUUUAAUUAUGCAAAACUCUGGAUAAUAGCAUAUUUGUCUGCCAUCAUAUAGUGUAAUCCAAACACUUAUUGCUACACACGUAAGAGAUGGAAAUGAUAGAAUGGAGGAAAGAAUGUUUCUAUAUUUCAAAGGAACUAAAAAUGAAUAUAAAAUAAACCAGAAAGUUUCUCUUUUAUAUAUCACUCACAAAGGAUCAGGUUUGUUAUGAGAAAACAGUAAGUAGCUUAGGUACUCUGGCAUCAGCACAUAAAGUGUGUCUCAAAAGAGGAGAUAUGAAAGAAGUCAAAAUGUCAAUACAUUAGAUAUGAAUAUUUUAAAAGAUAUCUUGGGACUAGGCAUUAUAGAAGUAAAGUUGAGUGUUUGGGUCAAACAUGACUUCUAGGCAGGUUGUCCACAGUAUUAUCUCCACAAUUCUACCCCAGAUAUAUUAUUAAUAUUAAUGAAAAGAAUUCAGGCUAGACAUUUGAAGAAAUUAUUUGGGUAUCUCUAAGGUGCUCACUUUAGGAUUCAAAGGCGGCAGCAACUAAUCACCUGGGCUUUGUCUCACUUUGGGUGACUCUUCAUCGAAUG
RNAcentral lists this long non-coding RNA (999 nucleotides) under Homo sapiens (human). RNAcentral's name for it is "HSALNT0214262". The record is from RNAcentral. Lineage: Eukaryota; Metazoa; Chordata; Mammalia; Primates; Hominidae.